GAUGAACGCUGGCGGCGUGCCUAAUACAUGCAAGUCGAGCGAACAGAUAAGGAGCUUGCUCCUUUGACGUUAGCGGCGGACGGGUGAGUAACACGUGGAUAACCUACCUAUAAGACUGGGAUAACUUCGGGAAACCGGAGCUAAUACCGGAUAACAUAUUGAACCGCAUGGUUCAAUAGUGAAAGGCGGCUUUGCUGUCACUUAUAGAUGGAUCCGCGCCGUAUUAGCUAGUUGGUAAGGUAACGGCUUACCAAGGCAACGAUACGUAGCCGACCUGAGAGGGUGAUCGGCCACACUGGAACUGAGACACGGUCCAGACUCCUACGGGAGGCAGCAGUAGGGAAUCUUCCGCAAUGGGCGAAAGCCUGACGGAGCAACGCCGCGUGAGUGAUGAAGGUCUUCGGAUCGUAAAACUCUGUUAUCAGGGAAGAACAAAUGUGUAAGUAACUGUGCACAUCUUGACGGUACCUGAUCAGAAAGCCACGGCUAACUACGU
Molecule: ribosomal RNA, 496 nt
Filed under: uncultured bacterium
Lineage: Bacteria
Description: partial 16S ribosomal RNA
Rfam family: Bacterial small subunit ribosomal RNA
Source: RNAcentral